UGCGGGGUGGAGCAGUGGUAGCUCGUCAGGCUCAUAACCUGAAGGCCGUUGGUUCGAUUCCAGCCCCCGCUACCA
Molecule: transfer RNA, 75 nt
Filed under: Lentisphaerota bacterium
Lineage: Bacteria; Pseudomonadati; Lentisphaerota
Also listed under: 2 other names
Description: Lentisphaerae bacterium (feces metagenome) tRNA-Met
Rfam family: tRNA
About the family: Transfer RNA (tRNA) molecules are approximately 80 nucleotides in length. Their secondary structure includes four short double-helical elements and three loops (D, anti-codon, and T loops). Further hydrogen bonds mediate the characteristic L-shaped molecular structure. tRNAs have two regions of fundamental functional importance: the anti-codon, which is responsible for specific mRNA codon recognition, and the 3' end, to which the tRNAs corresponding amino acid is attached (by aminoacyl-tRNA synthetases). tRNAs cope with the degeneracy of the genetic code in two manners: having more than one tRNA (with a specific anti-codon) for a particular amino acid; and 'wobble' base-pairing, i.e. permitting non-standard base-pairing at the 3rd anti-codon position.
Source: RNAcentral